UCCCUGGAGGACUAGUGGUUAGGCCUCAGCGAUCUCACCACUAUAGCCCGGGUUCAAUUCCCGGACAGGGAA
Pangasianodon gigas (Mekong giant catfish) is the source of this 72-nucleotide non-coding RNA. The record is from the annotation of a GenBank genome assembly. NCBI's taxonomy places the organism in Eukaryota, Metazoa, Chordata, Actinopteri, Siluriformes, Pangasiidae.